Molecule: long non-coding RNA, 624 nt
Organism: Dermacentor silvarum
Lineage: Eukaryota; Metazoa; Arthropoda; Arachnida; Ixodida; Ixodidae
Exons: 3
Source: RefSeq, a predicted model, not a curated record
GGGCCUUGUGCUUAGAUGCUGGAGGCAAUAUUAUACACGAGCAACAGUUUUCCGGAACUAAGGCUCUGGCACCUCUAUAUGUUGGUUAGGUUUUUGUAAACACAGAACGUUUGGGAUUCAUAUUUUACGUCAAUACUGCAGCGAUUAGAGUAAGGUAGCCCUCUAAUUCCAAGCGGAAAGCGCACCGCAACGUUCCACCCGGUUUCCUCUGUUGCAAAAUGCUGGGACGACUAUGAAACAGCAAGCUCACGCCAUCGUUCUAGUGCUGACUCUGUUUUACGUGCCAUCGGAAAUGCUCGAUCCGAUAUGCUCGAUGCCGUUCGAUGUUGGAGACUGCAAGAUAUGGAAAUUUCAGUGGAUGUGGUUCUACGACACUGUCACAGAGAUGUGUAGACCGUUUCUCUACGGCGGAUGUGGGGGAAACAGAAACAGAUUUCAAGACUGUCAAAGUUGCAAGCAAACGUGCAUGGCUCAAAGAUGUGCCCAACGGGCACCGGGACAGGAUCCGUACCUCUAUAAAUAAAAUUAACCAAUCAAGAGGAUGAGAGUGUAGGCACAGCUUCAUGACUGUGUGCAACAUUUAGGUGCUGAUUACCAUUCCAGCUGGAAUAAAUGGCAUUCGCU